This 500-nucleotide ribosomal RNA is filed under the name uncultured bacterium. RNAcentral's name for it is "partial 16S ribosomal RNA". It matches the Rfam family "Bacterial small subunit ribosomal RNA", at positions 29 to 523 of the family's 1533-position model. The record is from RNAcentral.
AUUGAACGCUGGCGGCAUGCCUUACACAUGCAAGUCGAACGGCAGCACGGGUGCUUGCACCUGGUGGCGAGUGGCGAACGGGAGAGUAAUACAUCGGAACGUACCUUAUCGUGGGGGAUAACGCAGCGAAAGCUGUGCUAAUACCGCAUACGCCCUGAGGGGGAAAGCGGGGGAUCGAAAGACCUCGCGCGAUUAGAGCGGCCGAUGCCUGAUUAGCUUGUUGGUGGGGUAAAAGCCCACCAAGGCGACGAUCAGUAGCUGGUCUGAGAGGACGAUCAGCCACACUGGGACUGAGACACGGCCCAGACUCCUACGGGAGGCAGCAGUGGGGAAUUUUGGACAAUGGGGCAACCCUGAUCCAGCAAUGCCGCGUGAGUGAAGAAGGCCUUCGGGUUGUAAAGCUCUUUUGUCAGGGAAGAAACACCGGCUCUAACACAGUCCGGGAAUGACGGUACCUGAAGAAUAAGCACCGGCUAACUACGUGCCAGCAGCCGCGGUAA